UUUAGAGACCUGUCAGUACACUGUGGCAGGAAGGCAUGGUGACAGUUGUUCAUGUCACAGCAAGUGGGAAGCAGAGGUCACAGCUGGAACCAAGGGUAAAUAUGGCCUACAAAAACCCUGUACCAGAGACCUAUUUCUGCCAGCCAAGCCCCACUUCCUCCUGGCUCCACAAACUUCAGAAUGAUCCUACAAGCUGGGGACUGGGUGUUCACAAGUAUAAGCCUGUGAAGAAGAUUCCAGAUUUAAGCCAUAACUUCAGAGAAGGAGCUGGGGACUGGGGACCAGGAGAGGCACCAUGGGAGACAGCACAGGAUAGAUGGAAGAGGAACUCUGUGUCCUGUGAUGCAACUACGUACGAUGUGACCCAGAACCGCAUUAGGUUGCAUCGGCAGUCAUGCCAAAACACUGUUUAGAACCAUGGACUCUCUCUUUCAUCAAGAGCCGCAGUGGGGAGCGGAGAAGGCAUUCCACUACAGAGGCGCAGCUGAAUUCUCUGGUAGAAGGCUUCUCUGCGCUCCCAGCCACAGCUGCCACCAAGCCUGCCAUCACCAAGGUGGUGUCUCAGCGCUUCCCUACAGCCCAGCACCCCACCCCUAC
Molecule: long non-coding RNA, 597 nt
Organism: Mastomys coucha (southern multimammate mouse)
Lineage: Eukaryota; Metazoa; Chordata; Mammalia; Rodentia; Muridae
Exons: 3
Source: RefSeq, a predicted model, not a curated record